This 484-nucleotide ribosomal RNA is filed under the name uncultured bacterium. Its description in RNAcentral is "partial 16S ribosomal RNA". It matches the Rfam family "Bacterial small subunit ribosomal RNA", at positions 29 to 507 of the family's 1533-position model. The record is from RNAcentral.
AUUGAACGCUGGCGGCAUGCUUUACACAUGCAAGUCGAACGGCAGCGCGGGCUUCGGCCUGGCGGCGAGUGGCGAACGGGUGAGUAAUGCAUCGGAACGUGCCCAGUAGUGGGGGAUAGCCCGGCGAAAGCCGGAUUAAUACCGCAUACGACCUGAGGGUGAAAGCGGGGGACCGAAAGGCCUCGCGCUAUUGGAGCGGCCGAUGUCGGAUUAGCUAGUUGGUGGGGUAAAGGCUUACCAAGGCGACGAUCCGUAGCUGGUCUGAGAGGACGACCAGCCACACUGGAACUGAGACACGGCCCAGACUCCUACGGGAGGCAGCAGUGGGGAAUUUUGGACAAUGGGGGCAACCCUGAUCCAGCCAUGCCGCGUGCGUGAAGAAGGCCUUCGGGUUGUAAACCGCUUUUGUUCGGGAAGAAAUCCUCUGAGCUAAUACCCCGGGGGUAUGACGGUACCGGAAGAAUAAGCACCGGCUAACUACGUG